AUUAAGGACUGCAAGUUGUACUUGUAACGGGGAUCCAGCUGGCUGGCCACCCAGUAAUCAGCACAAGUUAAAAUGUGGGCAACUCGGCAGUCGUUGCGCAGGCACUUUGGUGAUUCUAGAUAACCUCGGGCUGAUUGCACGUCCCCGUGACGGGUAUGACGCAUUCGGAUGUCUGCCCUAUCAACUUUCGAUGGUUCUUUCUGCGCCUACCAUGGUGAUCAUGGGUAACAAGGAGUCAGGGUUCGAUUCCGGAGAGGGAGCCUGAGAAAUGGUUACCACAUCCAAGGAAGGCAGUAGGCGCACAAAUUACCCACUCCCGACAAGGGGAGGUAGUGACGAU
This 340-nucleotide ribosomal RNA is filed under the name Pelobates cultripes (western spadefoot toad). It matches the Rfam family "Eukaryotic small subunit ribosomal RNA", at positions 203 to 473 of the family's 1831-position model. The record is from RNAcentral. Lineage: Eukaryota; Metazoa; Chordata; Amphibia; Anura; Pelobatidae.